RNAcentral lists this long non-coding RNA (425 nucleotides) under Rattus norvegicus (Norway rat). RNAcentral describes it as "long non-coding RNA NONRATT026407". Lineage: Eukaryota; Metazoa; Chordata; Mammalia; Rodentia; Muridae. The record is from RNAcentral.
GGGAAGUCUAGGAGCAAAGUCUCUUAGGCAGACUGAGAAGGCUACAGCUUCACACACUGUGCUGCCUGCCAGCUUUCCCCAGAGCCUAGGCCUCCCUCAGCAGGGCAUCUCAUCCCACCAUGUGGCUGCCUCUGCUUCUGGGUGCCUUGCUGUGGGCAGUACUGUGGUUGCUCAGAGACCGGCAGAGCCUGCCGGCCCGAGACGCUGUCAUCUUCAUCACCGGCUGUGACUCGGGCUUUGGGCGCCUUCUGGCACUGCAACUUGACCAGAAGGGCUUCCAAGUGCUGGCCGGCUGCCUGACCCCCUCUGGGGCAGAAGACCUACAACAGAUGGCCUCCUCCCGCCUCCACACAACACUGCUGGAUAUCACUGAUCCCCAGAAUGUCCAGCAAGUUGCCAAGUGGGUGAAGACACGUGUUGGAGAA